CCUACGGGGGGCAGCAGUGGGGGAUAUUGCACAAUGGGGGAAGCCCUGAUGCAGCGACGCCGCGUGGGUGAAGAAGCGCCUCGGCGCGUAAAGCCCUGUCAGCAGGGAAGAAAAUGACGGUACCUGAAGAAGAAGCCCCGGCUAACUACGUGCCAGCAGCCGCGGUAAUACGUAGGGGGCAAGCGUUAUCCGGAUUUACUGGGUGUAAAGGGGGCGCAGACGGCGAUGCAAGCCAGGAGUUAAAGCCCGGGGCCCAACCCCGGGACUGCUCUUGGAACUGCGUGGCUAGAGUGCAGGAGGGGCAG
This 305-nucleotide ribosomal RNA is filed under the name uncultured bacterium. RNAcentral's name for it is "bacterial SSU rRNA". It matches the Rfam family "Bacterial small subunit ribosomal RNA", at positions 338 to 660 of the family's 1533-position model. The record is from RNAcentral.